GACGAACGCUGGCGGCGUGCUUAACACAUGCAAGUCGAACGAUGAAGAAGAGCUUGCUCUUCGGAUUAGUGGCGAACGGGUGAGUAACACGUGACUAACCUGCCCCUUUCUCUGGGAUAACGCUCCGAAAGGAGUGCUAAUACCGGAUACUCACAUCGAGGCACAUGCCUUGAUGUGGAAAGUUUUUCGGAAAGGGAUGGAGUCGCGGCCUACCAGCUUGUUGGUGAGGUAACGGCUCACCAAGGCGACGACGGGUAGCCGGCCUGAGAGGGCGACCGGCCACACGGGGACUGAGACACGGCCCAGACUCCUACGGGAGGCAGCAGUGGGGAAUAUUGCACAAUGGGCGAAAGCCUGAUGCAGCGACGCCGCGUGAGGGAUGAAGGUCUUCGGAUUGUAAACCUCUUUCAGUAGGGACGAAGCGAAAGUGACGGUACCUAAAGAAGAAGUACCGGCUAACUACGUGCCAGCCGCCGCGGUAA
Molecule: ribosomal RNA, 482 nt
Filed under: uncultured bacterium
Lineage: Bacteria
Description: partial 16S ribosomal RNA
Rfam family: Bacterial small subunit ribosomal RNA
Source: RNAcentral